GUCUUUAAUGCGCAUGUACAAAAUAUUUCACUUUAAUCAGUAGGUGGCGGUAAUGCGCCUAAAAGUUUAAUGCCAACCUUAAUAAUACAGCGAAGAAGUUGUUUUUCUCGUCUGCAAUUCUGGAUUAGCGUUUUCUCGAAAGGGAUAACUUCGAUUGCGAUGCAUGUUUAGGGAUACUGGAAGGCGUAACUUACAGAAAACAGUCACCAAGUACAGUCCAGCUAAGCCAGGAAACCGGACCAGAGAAUGAAUUGAUGCCAUCUGUUUGAACCACAGUGCUCAGGAGGAAGGCUUCCUUACUUGAGGACUGCUUCAGGAUGUAGAAGGAACAAUGUCACCUGGAGAUCCUGUGGCAGAUUAUGAUGGGAGUAGUCAAGGUUGAUGGCGAUGUGGCUGUCUUGAGGCUUGCACUCAAAUGCUAGAUGUUUAGGGACAUUGUCAGUGAGCCCAAAUUUAAAGAACAGGCUCACUUUUUGUGGCUUGACAACAACAGUUUUUGAUGCCCUACUGUCUGACUCAAUGCUUCCACUGUGGAGAAAUCUUCAAAGACUGUCCACCUGGCAAUGUUGGGGAAAAAAUAUUUACACAAGUUACAUAAUAAUAUACGAGCAUAUAUUUGACAUGACUUUAAUUCUCCUAUUCAUUAAAACUUGUAAGUAUACAAGUACUGUAUAGGUUUUGUCUUUAUUUCACUUGAUAGUACUUGAUGCUAGUAUUGCAUCCCUAAGUUGAUGUUUCGAAUUAAAGUGCAGUUCACCUCACAGAUCUUUCAUAUUACGAUGCUAAACAGGCUCUUUAAUAAGACUUAGGUCAGAUGAUGAUGGGGGUCACACAUUGUUUGAUUUCUUUCUUGUUUUAAUAAUUAAAAUAGUCAGUGAUGCUUUUUGCAGUAUGGGAUGGUAUAUUAUCCUCCAUGAAAGUAAAUUUAUUUCAGAAGACAUAAUUCCUUCUAUCUCAUAGUAAAAAAACCUAUGUUUUAGGAACUCUACAUAUCUUCUAGAUGUCCAUUUGACCCUCCCCCCCAAUGUCAUGUUUGAACAUAGUGGCUAUUCACCAAUAAUCCAGAAUGACAUUCAUCUAUACUAUUUACUGUAUUUUUGCAUGUCAAUAAAUAAAAUUGUUUAAAAAUA
Molecule: long non-coding RNA, 1130 nt
Organism: Paramisgurnus dabryanus
Lineage: Eukaryota; Metazoa; Chordata; Actinopteri; Cypriniformes; Cobitidae
Source: RefSeq, a predicted model, not a curated record